Molecule: ribosomal RNA, 465 nt
Filed under: Vreelandella stevensii
Lineage: Bacteria; Pseudomonadati; Pseudomonadota; Gammaproteobacteria; Oceanospirillales; Halomonadaceae
Description: partial 16S ribosomal RNA
Rfam family: Bacterial small subunit ribosomal RNA
Source: RNAcentral
CCUACGGGUGGCAGCAGUGGGGAAUAUUGGACAAUGGGCGAAAGCCUGAUCCAGCCAUGCCGCGUGUGUGAAGAAGGCCUUCGGGUUGUAAAGCACUUUCAGUGGGGAAGAAAGCCUUGGGGCUAAUACCCUCGAGGAAGGACAUCACCCACAGAAGAAGCACCGGCUAACUCCGUGCCAGCAGCCGCGGUAAUACGGAGGGUGCGAGCGUUAAUCGGAAUUACUGGGCGGAAAGCGCGCGUAGGCGGUCUGAUAAGCCGGUUGUGAAAGCCCCGGGCUCAACCUGGGAACGGCAUCCGGAACUGUCAGGCUAGAGUGCAGGAGAGGAAGGUAGAAUUCCCGGUGUAGCGGUGAAAUGCGUAGAGAUCGGGAGGAAUACCAGUGGCGAAGGCGGCCUUCUGGACUGACACUGACGCUGAGGUGCGAAAGCGUGGGUAGCAAACAGGAUUAGAUACCCUGGUAGUC